Molecule: ribosomal RNA, 253 nt
Filed under: uncultured bacterium
Lineage: Bacteria
Description: partial 16S ribosomal RNA
Rfam family: Bacterial small subunit ribosomal RNA
Source: RNAcentral
UACGUAGGGUGCGAGCGUUGUCCGGAAUUAUUGGGCGUAAAGAGCUUGUAGGCGGUUUGUCGCGUCUGCUGUGAAAAUCCGGGGCUCAACCCCGGACUUGCAGUGGGUACGGGCAGACUGGAGUGUGGUAGGGGAGACUGGAAUUCCUGGUGUAGCGGUGGAAUGCGCAGAUAUCAGGAGGAACACCGAUGGCGAAGGCGGGUCUCUGGGCCGAUACUGACGCUGAGGAGCGAAGGCAUGGGGAGCGAACAGG